Molecule: non-coding RNA, 111 nt
Organism: Acanthosepion pharaonis
Lineage: Eukaryota; Metazoa; Mollusca; Cephalopoda; Sepiida; Sepiidae
Source: the annotation of a GenBank genome assembly
ACGGUGACAUCACGUUGAAACACUGGUCCUCGUACGAUCACCGAAGUUAAACAACGUCGAGCUUGGACAUUACCUAGAUGGGUGAUCGCUUGUGAAUACCAGAUGCUGUAA